This 1214-nucleotide long non-coding RNA is filed under the name Arachis ipaensis. RNAcentral describes it as "long non-coding RNA (AIPA_LNC001097)". The record is from RNAcentral. Lineage: Eukaryota; Viridiplantae; Streptophyta; Magnoliopsida; Fabales; Fabaceae.
UCACAUUCAUUCAGAUAAAGCUGUUUACUAUUGAUAUUAUUUUGUACAGUAAGAGGUAAAAUAGGCAAAGAAACAUAGCGAUGGAUUUGAAUAAAAAAGGGAAGGGGUAAUUGUACAAAACUGUACGUUUCCCCAAUGGUACUAUUGAUUGAAACGUUACGUACUUUAUGAUAACAUAUUUCUCCUUUUCAAUUAUUAACAAGUAGCAACCACCUAAACAAAACCAAAGAAAUUGGUUCAAUGAUUCUUACUCAUUCGAGAAAGAGCCAGUUGUUGUAACACACUCAUUAGCAUUAAGAAACACCAUAUGCCAAUUGCCAAAGCUAACAUUAUUAUCUAAUUCCGAGCGUGCUGUUAUUGCAAAUUAAAAUAAGCAGUGAUGUGAGAUUCCACCAUACCAUUCCUAUCACAACGUACAAUAAGGUUCCACCUUCUUUAGCUAUCAUCCAAUUCCCCCUUCAACUCAACAAUUAUUAUGUUAACUUCCAUUCAGAUGCGUAAACGACUACAACUCACACAGUAAUAGUAACAUGAUAAACAUCAUCAUUUAUAUGCAUUCAAAAUUUUCACAUUCAAAACAAUAAUUACAUAUCAUCAAUUAAAAUCGGUUUUACAAAUUUCCCCUUUUAAGAAAAAUAAAAAAACUCAUUCAACACAUUAAAAUGAGUUAUUACAAUAGAGAACUAAAAUAGACACUAAAAUACUCAACAACAUAUUCUAGCUAUUACCAGUAUAAACUAUUCUUAUACAGGCUGUAAAAAUUAAAUUUGGCAUUUAAGUAUUUUUCCUUUUGAAAAAAAAAAUUUAGAAUAUUUACCAUCAAAUAUAAUAAUUAAUAAUUUCUAAAUAAUAUUGGAAAAAAUCAUUUUUUAACAAAGUAAUAAGAUGGUAUAGUAGAGAGAGAAGGGGAAGGAUGGAAAGAAGUAGAAAAAGGUGAAGAAACGGCAAGUACCGGAAGAGAGGACAAACGACAAACGAGAUCGCGUUCUCCUACAUUCUCCGAUUCCACAUCCGCAUUGCACUCUCAAAAAAAAGAAAGAAAGGAGAAUCGAUUUCAGAGCCCUGCAAAAACAACAAAAAAAGGGGGGCACAAAACCCACACACACACGACACAGACACCGCACAAUCCGAGAUGCUCAUUCUCUCUCCAGCUCACCAACUCAACUUUACCAUUUUGCCCUUCCCGGUACCUCCUCUUUUCCGCCGCCGACACU